Molecule: long non-coding RNA, 472 nt
Organism: Poecilia latipinna (sailfin molly)
Lineage: Eukaryota; Metazoa; Chordata; Actinopteri; Cyprinodontiformes; Poeciliidae
Exons: 3
Source: RefSeq, a predicted model, not a curated record
UCACAAUAUGAUAAUUUUUUGUUUGAAACCAUAUACAUUCAAUAUGGAAAAACAACAGACUCAAACUUACUAGAAGGGGACCAGCAACUUGUAUUUCAUCCAUUUGUAAACCAUUUCAUCAAAAUAAGUGUUUGUUUUAUAAAGCUACGACUUACUAUAACAGGAAAUGUCACAGUUGCAUGAAAUGCUGACGUAUGACUGUAUGAUGCAAGUUUGUCUUUUUGUUUCGACAUAUUUUGAGGUUUGCUCUAAAAGCCAUAGAUAAGUUUGGCUAUAAUAGGCCAUGUGCAAACAGUAUCUUUUAAACAUACAUCUAUAUUGCAGGUUAAGUAACUGUGCAGUUAUAAUAUGUCAACCCAUGGAAGCGAAAAAGGAGCACCGAUGUGUGAUUUUUGUGGUUAGUGUGACAAAAGUAAAUGGAUUUAACAUGUUUGUUUUUUUUAAGUUAUUUAAUAAAUAUUCUUCUCUGUUG